This 3003-nucleotide long non-coding RNA is filed under the name Dermacentor andersoni. Its description in RNAcentral is "uncharacterized LOC126541542". The record is from RNAcentral. Lineage: Eukaryota; Metazoa; Arthropoda; Arachnida; Ixodida; Ixodidae.
GUGGUAAGGGAAUACAUCUACUUAGGGCAGGUAGUGACGGCGGAUCCGGAUCAUGAGACGGAAAUAAUCAGAAGAAUAAGAAUGGGCUGGGGUGCGUUUGGCAGGCAUUCUCAGAUCAUGAACAGCAGGUUGCCAUUAUCCCUCAAGAGAAAAGUGUAUAAUAGCUGUGUCUUACCAGUACUCACCUACGGGGCAGAAACCUGGAGGCUCACGAAAAGGGUUCUACUCAAAUUGAGGGCGACGCAAUGAGCUAUGGAAAGAAGAAUGAUGGGUGUAACGUUAAGGGAUAAGAAAAGAGCAGAUUGGGUGCGGGAACAAACGAGUUAAUGACAUCUUAGUUGAAAUCAAGAAAAAGAAAUGGGCAUGGGCAGGACAUGUAAUGAGGAGGGAAGAUAACCGAUGGUCAUUAAGGGUUACGGACUGGAUUCCAAGGGAAGGGAAGCGUAGCAGGGGGCGGCAGAAAGUUAGGUGGGCGGAUGAGGUUAAGAAGUUUGCAGGGACGACAUGGCCACAAUUAGUACAUGCCCGAGGUUGUUGGAGAAGUAUGGGAGAGGCCUUUGCCCUGCAGUGGGCGUAACCAGGCUGAUGAUGAUGAUGAUGAUGAAUAAAUAUACGCAGUAACUGUAGGAAGAAGUGCGACCCGCUGUGGUUGCUUAAUGGCUAUGGUGUUGGGCUGCUAAGCACAAGGUCGUAGGAUUAAAUCCCAGCCACAACAACCACAUUUCGAUGGAGGCGAAAUGCGAACAACUUUGUACUUGGAUUUGGGUGCAUGUUAAAGAACUCCAGCUGCUCAAAAUUUCCUGAGCCCCCCACUACGGCGUGCCUCUUAAUCAGAUUGUGAUUUUGGCACAUAAAACCCUAUAAUUUAAUUUUGAGAAGAGCACUGAUCUAAAUACCCUUCUUAAUUGAUGUCAGCUAUUGGCCAAUAGCAGCCAUGAAUUUGAAUCUGCUAUAUGAUGAUAUAUAGCUACCCGAAAAGAGCAAGAAGAAUUCAGUUGAAAAGAGAGUGUUUGAGAAAAAGGUGACUUUGCACUCCGCUUGCAAAGUCUACGCUCCGUGCAUGACAGCAAAAUUUGUGGGAUAUGUUCACAGCAGCAUAUGCUAUCAGCAGAUUGUGUUUUUCCACCAAGCCCAAGGGGUGGUUCAGAACCCCUUUAAUUGCCCUAAUAAAGAUAAACCUCAACAUAAUGCACACUGAUGUAAUGAAUUAUCAGAUACAAUGAAUUGUUGGAUAUAACAAAGUAAAUGUAAAAUUUCGUUUGCCUUGCUUUAUUUGUGUCAGUUCAUGUUCUGCUGCUUUAAAGAAACCAAAAGGGAAGCCAAAUUGCUAUAUCUUGCAAUAAAGCUUUAUUUUUUUAUUUUUGUGUGCACCUUUUUAAAUAUAUUAGGCUAGUAGCAAAAAAUUCAAAAUUCUGAAAAGCAAAUCGUAUGUGGGUAUGUGUGAGUCACUCAACACAAGAAAAUAGGUGUUCUGCAUGCUUGCACUUUACAUACAAACAUCUUGCUAGGCUUGAGCAAAGUUCAAGACGUGGUCCUUUGUCACACAGGAGGUGCUACUCGUGGGUGGAAACAAUUGCCAGCACCAACAUUUGUGAGCGUUUUCCUAAUAGAUAUAUUGCAUACAAUGGGCAAAAUCUCGCUUUGAUUGCAACAUCAUUGCAUUGAGGUUAGACUGUACUAUAUUCUAGAACACCAUGGUACUUUGAACCUGUAGCUGUUACUCAUAUUGUCAUGUUCUACAUGAAUGCACGCCAUGACUGAGUGCCUUCUCGUGUCAGCCACAAUCUACAAGUUAGAAGAAGAAAACAGUUUUGUUCAAUUACCAUUUUGAUGAUAGCAUUGCACAUAAAUAGAUUCCUGUAUAUUUUAUUGUAUUUAUAACGCCAAAUUAUUUUCUUGCAUAACACCAUAUGUAUAUAGGAUCUGGCACCAGAUUUGCACCAUUUUCAGAAAGUAGCACUUUUGAAAGGCUGGCUGUAGAAAGUAUUGAGCUAUGCAGGUGUUCACUGCUUGUUUUAAGACACACAUUUGGCAUGUUUGUUUUGUGUGUGUGUGUGUGUGUGUGUGUGUGGCAUGGGUGAAAAACAUGAAUUCCUUGCAUGCUGCUAAAUGGGCAUUAGUAACAAAACUUUCAUCCCAGGCUCGGCACUUAGAAUUGUACCAUAUAUUUGUUCGGAAUAACGACAAAAUACCAAUUUAGGGCUUUUUCUUUGUGUUGUAGAAGAAUUACAGUGGGCUACUGCGUAAAGAAUUGGAGCUAAACCUGAGGGAAGCUAAGAAAUAUGAGGUCAAAGGAUUUCAAGUCCUGCUUGUCUUGAUUUUGCAUCUUAUUUGUAGCAUGGGCUUCGUUUAUCUUUUUUGUCAUGUGCAUGCCAAACAGUGUCCAUGUGAGCAUGUGCUUUUUCUGCUGUACUGAGAACACAAUUUAGAAGUUUUAAUCUUCUAUGCUAUGCCAGCAGGCACCUGAAGUUAGUAACUUUAUGGAGACCCUCUGGUGUUAUGGUGUACCUGGUAUAGCUUGGUGCUGACCAUGGGACGAAGUGUUUCAGUAGCAGCAGUGAAGUACAGAAGUGGCCAUGUGCCAAGACCCCUGUGCAUGGAAGUUCAGUAGGUCAUGUAAAUUUAUUACGAGGAACGUUUCACUGUUCGUUCUUGUUUUCAACCUCUCUGUCAAUUUCACUCGCAAAGCCCUGCGCAUGGUUUAAUUUAGAGAGAUGGUUUUUCUGUUUCUUUCUUUCUUAUUUCUGGUUUUAUUAGUUCCCCGAGCACAUCCUUCUAGCAAACGUGUUAGCCACCGACGACCUGUAACAUUGCCUUUGCCUUGCGCGAUUCAACAUGUUGAAGUUGCAUUAAAUUUGCGCAGACACAUUGGUUGCAUUGUUGGAGAAACAGAGCUAUUUUGCUGCAGUGUAUUUUCUGUGUCUCAUCAUGGCAGGACAUCAAAUUGCAUUUGUGCAGACUGGUUUUUUACUCAUAAUAAAUUAUAUAUAUUGUAUGCUUCAA